This 434-nucleotide ribosomal RNA is filed under the name uncultured Bacteroides sp. Its description in RNAcentral is "bacterial SSU rRNA". It matches the Rfam family "Bacterial small subunit ribosomal RNA", at positions 958 to 1392 of the family's 1533-position model. The record is from RNAcentral. Lineage: Bacteria; Pseudomonadati; Bacteroidota; Bacteroidia; Bacteroidales; Bacteroidaceae.
AACGCGAAGAACCUUACCCAGGCUCGAACGGUACGCGACGGCGGCAGAGAUGUCGUUUUCCUUCGGGACGCGUAUCGAGGUGCUGCAUGGUUGUCGUCAGCUCGUGCCGUGAGGUGUCGGCUUAAGUGCCACAACGAGCGCAACCCUUGUUGACAGUUGCCAUCGGGUAAAGCCGGGGACUCUGUCGAGACUGCCACCGUAAGGUGUGAGGAAGGGGGGGAUGACGUCAAAUCAGCACGGCCCUUACGUCCGGGGCUACACACGUGUUACAAUGGGGGGCACAGCGCGCUGGUGCAUGGCGACAUGCAUCGAAUCGUGAAAUCCCCUCUCAGUUCGGACUGGAGUCUGCAACCCGACUCCACGAAGCUGGAUUCGCUAGUAAUCGCGCAUCAGCCAUGGCGCGGUGAAUACGUUCCCGGGUCUUGUACACACCG